GGAUUAGAUACCCUGGUAGUCCACGCCGUAAACGAUGGGCACUAGAUGUGGGCGGUGUCGACUCCGUCCGUGUCGAAGCUAACGCAUUAAGUGCCCCGCCUGGGGAGUACGGCCGCAAGGCUAAAACUCAAAGGAAUUGACGGGGGCCCGCACAAGCAGCGGAGCAUGUGGUUUAAUUCGACGCAACGCGAAGAACCUUACCUAGGCUUGACAUGUCCGUGAAAACCGUGGAAACACGGUCCCUCUUCGGAGCACGGUCACAGGUGGUGCAUGGCUGUCGUCAGCUCGUGCCG
This 293-nucleotide ribosomal RNA is filed under the name uncultured bacterium. Its description in RNAcentral is "partial 16S ribosomal RNA". It matches the Rfam family "Bacterial small subunit ribosomal RNA", at positions 775 to 1067 of the family's 1533-position model. The record is from RNAcentral.